CACAAACACACACAGCACCCUCACACACAGCACACAAACAGCACCCUCACACACACAGCACACUAACAGUACCCUCACAAACACAAACAGGACCCUAACAAACACACACACAGCACACUACCAGUACCCUCACACACAAACAGCACCCUCACACACAGUACAUUAACAGCACCCUCACACACAGUACAUUAACAGCAUCCUCACAAGCAC
Pelobates cultripes (western spadefoot toad) is the source of this 210-nucleotide non-coding RNA. The record is from the annotation of a GenBank genome assembly. NCBI's taxonomy places the organism in Eukaryota, Metazoa, Chordata, Amphibia, Anura, Pelobatidae.